GGGAGGGAGGUAGAGGAGGAGGCAGAGACCUGAUAACACAAGACUGGUGGAAGCUAGGGAGGGAGGGAGGUAGAGGGGGAGGCAGAGACCUGAUAACACAAGACUGGGGGAAGCUAGGGAGGGAGGGAGGGAGGUAGAGGAGGAGGCAGAGACCUGAUAACACAAGGCUGGGGGAAGAUAGGGUGGGAGGGAGGUAGAGGGGGAGGCAGAGACCUGAUAACACAAGGCUAGAGGAAGCUAGGGUGGGAGGGAGGUAGAGGGGGAGGCAGAGACCUGA
This 277-nucleotide long non-coding RNA is filed under the name Salmo salar (Atlantic salmon). Its description in RNAcentral is "lncRNA (ENSSSAG00000117934.1)". Lineage: Eukaryota; Metazoa; Chordata; Actinopteri; Salmoniformes; Salmonidae. The record is from RNAcentral.